Molecule: ribosomal RNA, 345 nt
Filed under: Praon volucre
Lineage: Eukaryota; Metazoa; Arthropoda; Insecta; Hymenoptera; Braconidae
Description: partial 16S ribosomal RNA
Source: RNAcentral
UCUUAUUGAUUAUAAUUUUAAGUCUAAUCUGCCCAAUGAUAUUUUAUUUAAUGGCUGCAGUAUUUAUAACUGUACAAAGGUAGCAUAAUAAUUAGUUUUUUAAUUGAAAACUAGAAUGAAAGAUUAAAUGAAAUAUAUACUAUAUAAAUAAAAUUAAAAAUUAAAAUUAAAAUUUAAGUAAAAAUUCUUAAAUUAUUUUAAAAGACGAGAAGACCCUAUAGAAUUUUAUUUUUUAUUAUUUUAAGAUUUAAUAAUAAAUUUAAAUAAAUAAUAAAAAAUUUAAUUGGGGUAAUUUUAAAAUUAAAUUAAUUUUUAUUUAAAAAACAUAAAUUAAUGAAUUUUUAA